This 296-nucleotide long non-coding RNA is filed under the name Elaeis guineensis (African oil palm). Its description in RNAcentral is "long non-coding RNA (EGUI_LNC065280)". The record is from RNAcentral. Lineage: Eukaryota; Viridiplantae; Streptophyta; Magnoliopsida; Arecales; Arecaceae.
AUUUGUUUUAUAUUAAAGCCAUUUAGAGACCAUGCUAAAAAAUUUUCUGAGUUCCGGUUAAGAUGGAUAUUUUUCUAGGCUAUGUAGUUAUGAUAGGAGGAGGAGGGACGCAGGAAAGAGAGAGUGAUGCUGAUCGAUUUUUGGCCCUUUAAGAUUUUAAAAAAAUAAAAAUAAAAACACCCGUAUGUAGAUGAAGAAGGAGCACGUGAAGGAGAGAGGGCGAUAUAUGCUGGUUGUUUUGGCUCUUUUAAGGUUUCCAAAAAAUACACCCAUGUACGGAAGAAGAAGGGACAAGU